Long non-coding RNA from Rhododendron vialii, 731 nucleotides. RefSeq lists it as uncharacterized. The transcript is spliced from 2 exons. The record is from RefSeq and is a predicted model, not a curated record. NCBI's taxonomy places the organism in Eukaryota, Viridiplantae, Streptophyta, Magnoliopsida, Ericales, Ericaceae.
ACGUAUGUUCUUCCAAUGUUCUUUCUCCAAAAGAUUAUGGAGAGCUUCACCUCUGGGCUUUAAUUUUGAUGCGGGGGAUCCGAUUCCAGUGGUCGGUGGCUUGCAGGUUGGAUUAAGGAAGCGCCGAGCAAAGAAGUAAUCUGGAACUCGGUGCUUUUAAUGUGGAUUAUUUGGUGUACGCAUAAAGGUGUGCUAUUUAGUGGGGACUGCUGUAAAGUAGAUGAUUCUUUAGCUCGUUUUGCAGUUGCGAAGUUCUCAAGCUCAAGCCGAAGAUGUUGAAUGUGGACAGGUCAGAGUCUGUUUGCACAUGGGGCAUGGAAGUCCGACUUGAUGAGUGGUGCUGCUGCUUGAGCAAGAAAGCGAGAAGGGGGAACUAAUCUGAUGCAACAAGUUGAAGUUAUUCGAGCAUCUUCAGCGUCUUUGGUGAAAAUCACGGCAGGGUUGCAAGUGCUGGAAUGGGCCAUCAACAAUGGGAUUGAAGCAGUGAGCAUUCACACAGAUUGCCUGGUUUUUGUUCAAGGGCCUAAUAAAGCUAGUUCUUCUCUUAGACAUGCAUUUUUUUUUCUUCUGUUAUCUAUGUUCUUAUUUUAAUUUUUUAAAAGUUAUUAAGGUACCGAGACUGGAUGUUAAGCCUGCUCAUGAUUUGCUAGAGCGGCUUUACUAUGCUUGUAAUGUUUAUUCUAAAGGAAUGAUCUUGUUCGUGAAAAAAGAAAAAACUCUCAUUGCAGUUC